GGCGCUUUCCGAUUGGACAGCGUCACCCGCUAGAAGUUCGCCGCAGAAGAUGAGGGCGGCGAUCACGUCCAUCGCGUCUCGUGGCGCGAAGCCGGCCAAUAAAUGCUGUUUGGAGGCCCACUUUCCAGCCAAGAAUUGCCACUGCACCUGAGAUAAGGGGGAUCCUGGCCAUUAAGGAAACCUUGCCUUCGAAACUGAGCCGUGAGGAACUAUACAAAAUGGGAAAUUGGGACAAAUCCCAGUGGCUCAUGACACUAAGAAGUAAAAUUACGAACUCACUGAGCUGGAAGUCAUUCAACGGGAAUUGAAUAGGUAACUGCACUUUUGUGAGAUUAUAAAUAUACCACGGAGGGUAACGAAGCUACAGAAGAAUGGAAGAAGACAGCCUGGAAGACUCAAACCUUCCUCCAAAAGUUUGGCAUUCUGAGAUGACGGUGUCAGUGACAGGCGAACCACCUAGUACCGUAGAAGAAGAAGGAAUACCUAAAGAAACAGACAUAGAAAUCAUCCCAGAAAUCCCGGAAACUCUAGAGCCACUGUCCCUUCCAGAUGUGCUGAGGAUCUCGGCAGUUCUGGAGGACACCACAGACCAGCUCUCUAUUCUGAACUACAUCAUGCCCGUUCAGUACGAAGGGAGACAGAGCAUCUGCGUGCAGAGAAAUGAAUCUAGAAGGAACGAAUCUAGACAAACUUCCAAUGGCCUCAACAAUCACAAAAAUACCCAGUCCGUUAAUAACUGAGGAAGGACCCAACUUGCCAGAAAUCAGAC
Molecule: long non-coding RNA, 769 nt
Filed under: Homo sapiens (human)
Lineage: Eukaryota; Metazoa; Chordata; Mammalia; Primates; Hominidae
Description: non-protein coding lnc-IQCG-5:1
Source: RNAcentral